GGGGUUGUAGCUCAGAGGUAGAGUGCUUGCCUAGCACGCAUGGGGCACUGGGUUUGAUCCUCAGCACCA
Molecule: non-coding RNA, 69 nt
Organism: Ictidomys tridecemlineatus (thirteen-lined ground squirrel)
Lineage: Eukaryota; Metazoa; Chordata; Mammalia; Rodentia; Sciuridae
Source: Rfam